Molecule: unclassified non-coding RNA, 373 nt
Filed under: uncultured Gammaproteobacteria bacterium
Lineage: Bacteria; Pseudomonadati; Pseudomonadota; Gammaproteobacteria
Description: contains 16S-23S intergenic spacer region
Source: RNAcentral
UCCGGUUUGUCACCGGCAGUCUCAUUAGAGUGCCCUUUCGUAGCAACUAAUGACAAGGGUUGCGCUCGUUGCGGGACUUAGCCCAACAUCUCACGACACGAGCUGACGACGGCCACGCAGCACCUGUGUCCUGGCUCUCUUUCGAGCACUCCCACAUCUCUGCAGGAUUCCAGGCAUGUCAAGGGUAGGUAAGGUUUUUCGCGUUGCAUCGAAUUAAACCACAUCAUCCACCGCUUGUGCGGGUCCCCGUCAAUUCCUUUGAGUUUUAGCCUUGCGGCCGUACUCCCCAGGCGGGGCGCUUAAUGCGUUAGCUGCGUUACUAAGGGAUUUAAUCCCCCGACAACCAGUUGACAUAGUUUAGGGCGUGGACUAC